RNAcentral lists this non-coding RNA (30 nucleotides) under Rattus norvegicus (Norway rat). Lineage: Eukaryota; Metazoa; Chordata; Mammalia; Rodentia; Muridae. The record is from RNAcentral.
UGGAAGAAGGAGGCUUUGAGGGUGAGGAGU